AAAACACACGAGGAUCUCUGGCUGCCUCUUCCUAACCACGUUCCUAACUCGUGGAUUGUAAGGUCAGUUUUACUCCCUGCCGAAGAUGGGGAUGGUUAUGCCUUGAUGGGAUUGUUUCAUAAAACAUGAAUGUUCAUGGAAGUGACCAGAUGUGGCAGUGCAGAAUGCAGAAGCAUUCUUACAGAAGCAUCAGAUAUGUGCAGAAUUUCACACGCGUUGUGCAACUGAAGUCCAAGUUUAUGCCAGAACUUGACAUCAUCUGCUCCAGGCUGUCUGCUGAGUGCCAUAGGAAGGGAGGAGAAACAGGACAUAAGAUUAAGGAGAUCAUGGCUGCCAUUGAUUGGAAUCCUAUCAUUGGCUCGUUGAGAGUUUGCCACCUGAAAGCACUUGUUGUGUACUUGAAGACCCCGAUAAACUCAUAAAGGAAUACCUGAGCUGCCAGAUGGUGUCAUCAUCACUGAAAGCAGUCAUAAA
This is a long non-coding RNA of Sardina pilchardus (European sardine), 474 nucleotides long. RefSeq lists it as uncharacterized. The record is from RefSeq and is a predicted model, not a curated record. The transcript has 6 exons. Lineage: Eukaryota; Metazoa; Chordata; Actinopteri; Clupeiformes; Clupeidae.